AAGACUAUAGACCUGCGGAGUACCUGCGGAAGGAUCAUUACCAAGAGAAAUCUUUCAACACUGAAAGAUCUUUUCCUUUGUGCUGGCUUUGACCGUAUGUAAUUUUGGGACUUUAAAAUGGUUCGCAAGGGCCGGUCCCAAAAACAAUAUAUCAUCCUUAUGAAAUUUUUUCUGAACAAUUAAACAAAUGAUUUUAAUAAUCUGUUUAAAACAACUUUCAACAACGGAUCUCUAGAUCGG
RNAcentral lists this unclassified non-coding RNA (240 nucleotides) under soil metagenome. RNAcentral's name for it is "partial contains 5.8S ribosomal RNA, internal transcribed spacer 2, and large subunit ribosomal RNA". The record is from RNAcentral.